RNAcentral lists this ribosomal RNA (473 nucleotides) under uncultured bacterium. Its description in RNAcentral is "bacterial SSU rRNA". It matches the Rfam family "Bacterial small subunit ribosomal RNA", at positions 355 to 825 of the family's 1533-position model. The record is from RNAcentral.
UGGGGAAUUGUUCACAAUGGGCGCAAGCCUGAUGACGCAACGCCGCGUGGGGGAUGAAGGUCUUCGGAUCGUAAACCCCUGUCGAAUGGGACGAAAGACUCGCGAGUGAAUACUUCGCGAGAGUGACGGUACCGUUAAAGGAAGCCACGGCUAACUCUGUGCCAGCAGCCGCGGUAAUACAGAGGUGGCAAGCGUUGUUCGGAAUUACUGGGCGUAAAGGGCGCGUAGGCGGCCCUCUAAGUCAGACGUGAAAUCCCCCGGCUUAACCUGGGAACUGCGUCUGAUACUGGAGGGCUUGAGUAUGGGAGAGGGAUGUAGAAUUCCAGGUGUAGCGGUGAAAUGCGUAGAUAUCUGGAGGAAUACCGGUGGCGAAGGCGGCAUCCUGGACCAUUACUGACGCUGAGGCACGAAAGCGUGGGGAGCAAACAGGAUUAGAUACCCCCGUAGUCCCUGAGCGGGCUGGCAAGGCGCAU